GAUGAACGCUAGCGGGAGGCCUAACACAUGCAAGCCGAGCGGUAGAGUCUCUUCGGAGACUUGAGAGCGGCGCACGGGUGCGGAACACGUGUGCAACCUGCCUUUAUCUGGGGGAUAGCCUUUCGAAAGGAAGAUUAAUACCCCAUAAUAUACUGGAUGGCAUCAUCUGGUAUUGAAAACUCCGGUGGAUAGAGAUGGGCACGCGCAAGAUUAGAUAGUUGGUGAGGUAACGGCCCACCAAGUCAGCGAUCUUUAGGGGGCCUGAGAGGGUGAUCCCCCACACUGGUACUGAGACACGGACCAGACUCCUACGGGAGGCAGCAGUGAGGAAUAUUGGACAAUGGGUGAGAGCCUGAUCCAGCCAUCCCGCGUGAAGGACGACGGCCCUAUGGGUUGUAAACUUCUUUUGUAUAGGGAUAAACCUAGAUACGUGUAUCUAGCUGAAGGUACUAUACGAAUAAGCACCGGCUAACUCCGUG
RNAcentral lists this ribosomal RNA (479 nucleotides) under uncultured bacterium. Its description in RNAcentral is "partial 16S ribosomal RNA". It matches the Rfam family "Bacterial small subunit ribosomal RNA", at positions 28 to 507 of the family's 1533-position model. The record is from RNAcentral.